GCAUUCUCAAUGUUUCUCGGCUGCCUCGUGGUCAGGAAGUCGUGGAGGGAGACUAGUGCCUAGUGUUUGCGGAACCUGAAAACUUCCUUAAGCUGCAGUUGCUGUGCUGGCCUCCUAGGAUAUUCAGCAGCUGGUCCUGUCACCUGCCAGGUCUCCAUAUGCUCAGUCAAAUCUCCAUAACUGUAAAUCAACACUAAGAGCACUAGAAGGUUAAAGGUCAAGGAGACUCUCACAAAGGAUCCAGAUAUGUUAGAGACCUUGAUGUGAAAUUUCAAGAAGAAUUCAAACUUUGUUCUUCACUGGACCCUGGGAGAAGGACCACAACAAGAAUGAGUGUGUGUCUGGUAAAUACACCACAGGGUCUGUUAACUUUCAAGGACGUGGCCUUGGACUUCUCACUGGAGGAAUGGGAAUGUCUCAGUUUUGCUCAGAGGACACUGUACAUGGAUGUGAUGUUGGAGAAUUACAACAAUCUGUUGUUUGUGGAAAAUUAUUGCAUACGUGGAAAGAAUGGGAAGGUAUUGGAUCAAGACAGCCAGUACAUUGUCCAUGAACACAUGAAUAUUCAAGAGAAGUCUUCUAAAUGGGACAAGCUUAGCAAUGUCAUUCUUGAAUCCCUCCAGUGUACACCUUACAAAACUAAUCACAGCUCUGAUGCUCUUCAAUUCUCGAACCAAAAAAGACUUAAGCCCAGGAACACUAAAGAAGUUUGCAAAUACAAUCACUUUGUAAACAGUUUAAGUUUGUUUUCUACCAUUAGUCUCAAUCAAGGAAUUAACAUGCAGAAGAAAAAACACAACCGAAAUGCAGAAUUAGAGAAGGUUUUUGUUUCUAAACAUAAAGUCGUGGUGAAAAAAAACAAUAUUGCAGGGAACCCUUACAAAUGUAGUGAAUUUCACAAAUAUCUUACCCAGAGAGAAAAACUACAAAGUCAGCAGAGAAUUUAUCAUGGAAAGAAACCUUAUGAAAGUAGUAAAAGUGACAAAUGCUUUACCCAUCAGAUCCAUCUUAGUAUUCAUCAGGGAAUUCAUACAGAAGAGAAAAUUUACAAAUGUAGUGAAUGUGACAAAUGUUUUAAACACAAAUUCAAUCUUACUAUGCAUCAGAGAAUUCAUACAGGAGAGACACCUAACAAAUGCAGUGAAUGUGACAAAUGCUUUACUAAAAAAAGCAGUCUGAGGAUUCAUCAGAGAAUUCAUACAGGAGAGAAACCUUACAAAUGCAGUGAAUGUGACAAAUGCUUUACCCAACAAUCCAAUCUUAGUAUUCAUCAGAGAAUUCAUACAGGAGAGAAACCUUACAAAUGCAGGGAAUGUGACAAAUGCUUUACUGGAAAAGGCAGUCUGAGAAUUCAUCAGAGAAUUCAUACAGGAGAGAAACCUUACAAAUGCAGUGAAUGUGGCAAAUGCUUUACUGAAAAAAGCAGUCUGAGAAUUCAUCAGAGAAUU
Mus musculus (house mouse) is the source of this 1448-nucleotide long non-coding RNA. RefSeq annotates it as predicted gene, 21411. The annotation marks the transcript as partial. The transcript has 5 exons. Lineage: Eukaryota; Metazoa; Chordata; Mammalia; Rodentia; Muridae. The record is from RefSeq and is a predicted model, not a curated record.